This is a long non-coding RNA of Diabrotica virgifera virgifera (western corn rootworm), 480 nucleotides long. RefSeq lists it as uncharacterized. The transcript is spliced from 2 exons. The record is from RefSeq and is a predicted model, not a curated record. Lineage: Eukaryota; Metazoa; Arthropoda; Insecta; Coleoptera; Chrysomelidae.
AAGAGAACAUUUUCGUAUGUCCAGAACUACUUUCCAGGAACUAUUUAAUUGUAUUGGUCAUAUCCACCAAUUUGAAAACAGAAUAAUUCUAUUGGAAAAAAUUAAUGUUUAUGAUGUGGAUGCUAAGUAAACCAGAGAAUUUGUUGCUGGGGAUACGUUUGGUUUGCCAAAGAGCUCUGGACAUAAGAUUUUCACCCAAAUAAUAUAGAAUUACAAAAAAUUGGAAAUAACUAAUCUUGAAUAUCAAUGUGUAUAUUGAGUUUAAUUUUAUUGUAAAUAUUCUAUAAUAUAAUUUUAUUGUAAAUAUUGUAUUAACACAUUUGUGGACACAUCUUCAUAUGCAGACAGUAAUUUCCCUUUGUAAGUACAUGCAUAUUAGUCGUAUCUGCGAAUGGGUUAAUUGUAAAUCGUAAUCAAUAAAAAUUUUUUGUGAAUCAAUAAAAAACUGGUUUGUUUGAAAAUAAAUGUAGUACAAAUGUG